RNAcentral lists this ribosomal RNA (492 nucleotides) under uncultured bacterium. RNAcentral describes it as "partial 16S ribosomal RNA". It matches the Rfam family "Bacterial small subunit ribosomal RNA", at positions 29 to 507 of the family's 1533-position model. The record is from RNAcentral.
AGUGAACGCUGGCGGUAGGCCUAACACAUGCAAGUCGAACGGCAGCACAGUAAGAGCUUGCUCGUACGGGUGGCGAGUGGCGGACGGGUGAGGAAUACAUCGGAAUCUACUUUUUCGUGGGUGAUAACGUAGGGAAACUUACGCUAAUACCGCAUACGACCUACGGGUGAAAUCAGGGGAUCUUCGGACCUUGCGCGAUUGAAUGAGCCGAUGUCGGAUUAGCUAGUUGGCGGGGUAAAGGCCCACCAAGCCGACGAUCCGUAGCUGGUCUGAGAGGAUGAUCAGCCACACUGGAACUGAGACACGGUCCAGACUCCUACGGGAGGCAGCAGUGGGGAAUAUUGGACAAUGGGCGCAAGCCUGAUCCAGCCAUACCGCGUGGGUGAAGAAGGCCUUCGGGUUGUAAAGCCCUUUUGUUGGGAAAGAAAAGCAGCAGGUUAAUACCCCGCUGUUCUGACGGUACCCAAAGAAUAAGCACCGGCUAACUUCGUG